AAAAAGGUUCUUAUAGAACCACUAUCAGUAAAUAGAACAUUUCA
Non-coding RNA from Lupinus angustifolius (narrow-leaved blue lupine), 44 nucleotides. NCBI's taxonomy places the organism in Eukaryota, Viridiplantae, Streptophyta, Magnoliopsida, Fabales, Fabaceae. The record is from Rfam.